RNAcentral lists this ribosomal RNA (400 nucleotides) under uncultured bacterium. RNAcentral's name for it is "bacterial SSU rRNA". It matches the Rfam family "Bacterial small subunit ribosomal RNA", at positions 355 to 748 of the family's 1533-position model. The record is from RNAcentral.
UGGGGAAUUUUGCGCAAUGGACGAAAGUCUGACGCAGCAACGCCGCGUGGAGGAUGAAGCCCUUUGGGGUGUAAACUUCUGUUGAUCGGGAAGAAAAGUUAGUAGUUAAUACCUGCUAUAAUGACGUUACCGAUAAAGAAAGCACCGGCUAAUCUCGUGCCAGCAGCCGCGGUAAUACGAGAGGUGCAAGCGUUAUUCGGAAUUAUUGGGCGUAAAGGGCGCGUAGGCGGCUUUAUAAGUUUUUUGUUUAAUUUUCUGGCCUAACUGGAAACAUGCAAAAAAUACUGUAUUGCUAGAGUAUAAUAGAGAGGAGUGGAAUUUUCGGAGUAGCGGUUAAAUGCGUAGAUCUCGAAAGGAACGCCAAUGGCGAAGGCAGCUUCUUGGGUUAUUACUGACGCUG